UGAAUGCAUAAAUCCUGAACAAAUUCGAUUAAAGUACAGGCGAUGCUAAGGUCGCUAACCUGAGGUCAGUAGUGGUGUAACGUCAACAAUGCGAGACGAGACGAGAUAGUUAAGGCACGGCCCCGAAACGCAGCUGGAAUCUGGAAGCGUGAACAAGCAGCCGACAUUACAGACUGACACAUACCGUGUGCGCGCGACAGCAGCGUGAGCUCCAUACGGCUGAUAAAGGGGAACGGAGAGGGCGGCAAAUGGCAAGCGAAAGGGGAUGAGAUCACUCACAAAAGUAGACUUUUGUAAUCCGGUGGGCCGCGUAACGGCAGCGCGCGUGUACUUUAGUAUUAAACCACCUCUUUGUCUUCUUUGUGUGGUUUUAGCAGAGCAGAAGUACAGCGAGGAGAGAGCUCGGAACAGUUGGCGCACAACCGGAGACAAGCCUGGGACGCCGUACAUGCAUUAAAGCAUGGUGAUUGGUAAAUUCCUGCACUGUUUAAAAGAUUAAGACUAUGGAACUGAGGUCACUGGAAACACAGGAAGAAGAGAAAACAGAGGGAAAGAUCUGAUACCAUUGCAUGCUGUCCUUGUUCCUCAUGAAAUGGCCUGCUGCAGGGAGGCAUGAGGACUGCAGAUGUGGCAAGAGCAAUAAACUGCAACGUCUGUAAUGUAAGAUGCCUAAGACAGUGUUACAGGGAGAAAGGAAGCACAGCUCAUCGUCCUUGCAGUGGAAAAUUACAUGUAACCAUGUCUCCCCAGAAGUGAUUGAGAAUUUGCAAAUGCCUUGGUGGAAGAGUGGAGUAACAUCGCACAGCAAGAACUGACAAAUCUGGUGCAGUCCAUGAAGAUGAGAUGCACUGUAAGUACUUAAAGCAGCUGGUGGCCACACCACAUACUGACUGUUACUUUUGGUAUUAACCCACCCCAGGGACUCAUUCCAUUUCUGUUCGUCAAAUGUCUGUGAAACUUGUUCAGUUUCUGUCUCAGUUGUUGAAUGUUUUUAUGUUAAUACAAAUAUUUACACAUGUUAAGAAAUUUGCUGGAAAUAAAAGCAGUUGAAUGUGAGAAGAUGUUUCGUUUUUUGUUGAGUAUAUGUCAAAUUAUUCAUGCUUCAACAAACAUAUACACACAUGUAGCUCCCCCUAUUGACCGGCAUGUGCAGCUGAAUGUCAGUGUUGAAUAUUACAUGGGCAAUCACCACUCACAUUUCUUCAGAAAAUGUAAAGUCUAGUUCUGCUUCUUCUUCUGAAGAAGAAGAUAAAUAUUUGCAUAGGGUUUAUUUAUACAUUUAUUAAAUACAUUUAUUAAAACUCCACAUUACCUUCACAUUUCAAUCUAAUAACCAUUUUAAACUCUUCAUACCAGCUUUGUCAAGUCAACAUCAAAGUUUGUCCUCAAACUUUACCUAUCUAGUUAUUUUUCCUCUUCUUCUGAGACAGUUCAUUUCUGUAUGCUACUCCCCUCAUAGCUUUCAAGCUACAGCCAGCAAACUCUGUAGAGAACUUCAGUCUACUCUUAAGUUGCUAUAUCUUUUCCAAUUGAUCUGAUUUACGGUUUUCCUGUUACGGAAGCUCAAAAUGUCCAAAUUUCUGAUAGAAUUCCAUUCAAAAUUUCUGACUGUUAUAACUCCUUGUGCUUUCAAGCUACUUCCACCAAACCAGAAAAGUCCUUCAGGCCGUUGAGACUGAUCAUGCUCUAUUUUCGGUAACUGCUCGGUUUUUGUGUAGUGGACAAUCAAAAAUACCCAAAACUCCUGUACACUUGCACUGACUUGAAUGUUCAGAGCCUGGCUCGGAAUGUUUAACAUUUCAAACACCAGCUGUCAAAUCUCUGCUUGAAACCCCUUUUCUCUCCCUCUCACCCUCUCACUUAUGUACACAUAACAGAUACUCACUCCAUCCAUCUAUCUAUGUAUCUAUUCAACUCUACGCGUAUUGGCACCCUAUAUGUAUACUUUCAGACUUGACUGGAUAGAUAGAUAGGUAGGGUGCCAAUACUUGUAGAGUUGAAUAGCUAGAUAGUUCGUUUUGGCACCCUAUCUAUCCAGUGAACUCUACAAGUAUUGGUACCCUAUCUAUCUAACUACAACUACUGGCACUCUGACUUUAUCUAUCUAUCUAUCUAUCUAUCUAUCUAUCUAUCUAAUCAACUCUACAAGUAUUGGCAUCCUGUGUGUCGGGCUGUCUCUCUAAUCAACUCUAUAAGUAUUGGGACCCUAUCUAUUCAACUCUACAAAUAUUGGCACCCUAUCUAUCUAACUACAAGUAUCAGCAACUUAUCUAUCUAUCUGACGCUAGAAGUACUGGCACCCUAUCUAGCUAAUCAACUCUAAAAGCAUUGUCUGUCUCUAUCAACUCUACAGAUAUUGGCACCCUAUCUAUCUGUCUCUCUUUCUUUCUUAAAACUGUACAUUGCCUUCACAUUUCAAACUGAUAACUAUUUUAAACUUUCAGAUUUGCUUUGUCUAGCCAACAUCAAAGUUUUUCCUCAAACUGUGCAUAGCUAGUUAUAAUUAUUGUUCUUUCAGACAAAUGUUUGGCACGCAACCUUUUGUGUUAUGGACAUGCUUUUGACUUUUAAGCGAACAGCCUAACAAUGUUCGAACUGCGGACAAAAAAACUCUUGUGUUUUCAACCCAUAGAGAAUCAAUGGGGAAUAAAACACAGGUGUCACAGCUUGGACCUUGUUCGCCUGUCAUGCUCUUGUCAUAUAUCCUCUUGUAAAUCUUAGGGACUAGACCUGGCUAAAAUGCAAUGUAGCUCCCCCUACUGACUGGCAUAUGUGGCUGCAUGUCCGUGUUGAAUUUUGCGCCAUUCACAUUUUCUUCAGAAAGUGUCGAAUCUAGUUCUUCUUGUUCUAGACAAAAUUCUGGCAUUUUGAAUCUGAAUUACAUGUCCAAGUGUUUAGCUUGGUCCAGAGAAUCAGGAAAUCCCAUAUGGGAAUUGAUUCCACAUGCACGGUGCGUGGAAUGUUCCAUUGGGUUUCACAGUACACACAAUUAUGUUUAAAAAAAAAAACAAUGAGCCUAGAGAAGCAAACAGAGAUUCCAUUUAGAUCUCUAUCGGAAAUCGGUGAAAGCAGUGGUCACCUUGAAGACUAUCCAUGGUUACAUCUGUGGCAUAACAGAUAUAACUCCAGCACUGUCAGUACAGCAUUCGAGUCCCCGAUGCUUUAUGGGAUAAUGACUUGCCAUUGGUCUACAUUGUAUCGUAGUCAAUAUGCCAUAACUCAUUAGGGACUCGGAGUGCACUGGAUUUCCACUCCUCCUGGAUCGAUCCUUUUGAAUUUCAUUCAUCCACACAUUUUCUUUGACUGGCACGCAGAUGUAACCAUUGUUAGCCUUGAAGACAACCUUCAACAAAAGAAACAAAUUCACAAAAUCUUCACCACCUACAUUUUAAACACACAAACAUGAUAUGUAACAUUUUGUCAUAAUAUUCUGACUUUAUUCUCUAAAUAUUGCAACACUAUUCUCAUAAUCUUAUUGUUUUUGUUUUUAACAGUUGUCCUAAAACACUGUCAUAAAUGAGAGACAAGGUCUGUCUGAAAAAUACACUUGAAAAUCUUGGCUGAAUAGUUAUACAUGAUUGUUUUUCCUACAUACACCAGAUACCUCCAUCACGCUGACUUCCUCAGCGUUGGGCCUUUUUUUUCCUUCUGAUUCAUAGAAAAAAAAUUGAAGAGUCAUGUGUUGUCAUACAGCCAGUCAAAUCACAGAAAAAGGUGAUGCAGUAAAGCAGCAGUGGAAAAGGGGAACGCCACAACUUUCAGAUAGAUGACACAGUGCAGGAGACCGAAAAGGGGAGUGAGAAAGGCAGAGAGCAAGAGGGCAAGUGAGAGAAAUGGUAGUGCAUGAAAUAUCUCACUAGAUGGUAUUCCCUUAAUUAGCAAAGUGAUAACAUUGUCCUGUUGUAUGUCCUUACAUUUCCUGUUUAUCUAGUGCCCCCUAUAAGCCAGUUGUAGAAAAUGUUCAAUAAAAUGUUAUGAUGCGAUUCUGUCCAAGAACCAUUUUUCAAACCUGAGUGAAAUGAGUCAGGUUAAAAAAAAAUACACUAACUCAUGUUUAACUUCCCACUACCUGAACCUAAGGCGAGCUUAUGUGUCUGGUGGGUCUCCUUUUUCCAUGUCACAUCAGCCUACCACACUGAUGAUACAACUGCCCACCAACACAAUAUAGAGUAUAAGCCUUUCUGUCAUUUUUUUUUUUUU
This is a long non-coding RNA of Ictalurus punctatus (channel catfish), 4200 nucleotides long. RefSeq lists it as uncharacterized. The transcript has 4 exons. The record is from RefSeq and is a predicted model, not a curated record. Lineage: Eukaryota; Metazoa; Chordata; Actinopteri; Siluriformes; Ictaluridae.